Molecule: long non-coding RNA, 2283 nt
Filed under: Lotus japonicus
Lineage: Eukaryota; Viridiplantae; Streptophyta; Magnoliopsida; Fabales; Fabaceae
Description: long non-coding RNA (LJAP_LNC001883)
Source: RNAcentral
CAUUUAUUAUAAAUCAUAACUGAAUUAAAAUUGAAGUAUAGAACCGCUAUAGCAUUUUUGGGUCAGCGACACUAUGUUCCACUAUUCAUGAUUGACAACUAAUUGUAAGAUUUUUCAUUGUACUUGAAAGACACUUGCAGCAACCAACAUGAAAGAUGAAGACCUCACUGAAAGCAUGCAAAAGCUACUUAUUGUUAUGCAAAGACUGGAUGAGAAAAUUGCUCCAAUGCUGGAGGAAGAUGGGGAGCUCUUCAAUUCAAGGUAAGCUCAGAGAAUAGAACUCUCGAUUUUUUUUUGUCUGCCCACAUGGCUAUUUCAAUAACUGAGUUGCCAUGGGAAAGAGUUAUUGGUGAUCUUGUUCUGUCAAUAUGCUCCAGGACGAACAAAGCUUAGACACAGUUCUAUACAUUGUAUUUUUAUUGUUGUCCAAUUACAACAUGACACUUGUGUUGGAAAAUGAGAAGUUGAUAGAAGUUAUAACAUUAUUAAAAAUAUUUAAAAAGUGGGUACCCGAUUUUGUCAUUGCUGCUGGUCUUGCUUUUUGGUCAUUUUACCGCAUGCAUUUGUUAUUCACUUGGAUUAUUUGUCUGCAUUAGGUGGGGCUAUCUAUCUCGUGCUGGACUGUGGGAUAAAAGUCACUUGAUGAGACAAAUUGAAAAGUAAGUGCUUUCUUUUUUAUGCCACUGAUCUCUAUUUUAGCGUGAUUACUCUCUGAAUUCUGAAUUAAUUGAGUUUAAAUUUAUUAUGGCAGAUAUGCUGAUAUUUAUACAUCUAGAGUGUCAAACUUUUUAUAUUACACCCCCUUCAUGUAUUUCCGCUCUCAGGAACAGGUAUCCAGAUAACCUUCUCUUUACCUUGUCAUUUAUAGCCAUGAACGAUUAAGUUAUUAUUGUGUUGUUUGAAUUGACUUUGAUUUGUUUCUGUAGAAUCUUGCGCAUGACUCAUACUCACACUACUGUUCAGCACUCAAUGAUGACUUUUCUUCUUAGGGAAAAAUUGCGGGAAGAAAAACGGAUUAGUAUAAGAAAUAAAGAAUCUGUUGUUGACAUUGUUAGCAGAUGUAUCAUUGUAACAGUAUCCAAUGCUGUGAUGAUGAUGAUACCUUGUAUUAUUUGAAACUCAUAUAAUAUCCACGGAAGACUCAUGUAGCAUUUUUACCUUGGCCAAGUGGUGCUAAGUGGCCCCUGGUUAUAGGAGAGCAAAGCCCCACCAGGCAAAGAAGGGAAACACAAAUGGCUAGAGAUUUUGUUUCCAACUGAUUGUGAAUUUGGUGUUGAUUUCAGCAAUUUACAUGAUGUAAUCAGAUUGACAAUUUGGCAAUGCAUUGUUAGAAAUCAUUGAACAAGUUCGUAUUCCCAUAUGUUUGGUUUAAAUUCAAAGUUGAUGUUAACCAAUUUCUAUUUGAUUAUUUUAUGUUUUUUCUCCUAUGAGAGUGUGAACAACAAAAAAACCUAGGACUAGCAAUUAAUUCAUGAAAUGUAAAAAUUGAAUCAAACAACUGAAAUGAAAUCAAUUGCAACCCUUAAUAAUGAGAAAAAAUAAGUGAAAAUGGAUAGAAAAAGCGAAUCAAUUGCAAACCCAAAUUGUCGAUGAACCCUUGCUCCACCACUACCAUGGUCGACGAAAUGAUGCAACACCGGCGCGAAGCCUUCUGAACUUACAGAUCUAGAAUCUACGGUGUUGGUACUUCUGCGGGUGAAGGUCUCAGGGUUUGAUAUUCUGGACAUGGUGAUCUGUAACCUGGGUUUGGGUGUGACCUCAGAAACCCGUAUGUUGAUAAAGAACAUAAAUUAUUUGAUGUGUUGAAGUUUUUACUUUGAAGGGGUGACCACCGCACCGGAACCCUGCGGUAGAAGAUGAUUGAUGAUUAUUAUAUAAGAAACUUUUAUUUGAACUUUCAUGCUUUUAGACAGUUUGGUUUAAGCCCUAGAGGCUUAAACUUAUUGGUUACCUUGACUUUUCUUGGUAUUUACUUGAUGUUUUGUUUAAUAGACCUAUGGCUUUUUAUUGUUAAUUAUGAGUGUUAUGAAUUUUGAGUUGUUUUAAAUAAUUUUUUUAGCAUUUGUAUAUGCAUUUAUUAUAAAUCAUAACUGAAUUAAAAUUGAAGUAUAGAACCGCUAUAGCAUUUUUGGGUCAGCGACACUAUGUUCCACUAUUCAUGAUUGACAACUAAUUGUAAGAUUUUUCAUUGUACUUGAAAGACACUUGCAGCAACCAACAUGAAAGAUGAAGACCUCACUGAAAGCAUGCAAAAGCUACUUAUUGUUAUGCAAAGACUGGAUG